Mytilus californianus (California mussel) is the source of this 585-nucleotide long non-coding RNA. RefSeq lists it as uncharacterized. The record is from RefSeq and is a predicted model, not a curated record. Lineage: Eukaryota; Metazoa; Mollusca; Bivalvia; Mytilida; Mytilidae. The transcript has 2 exons.
GGGAGUUGGAGUUUUGACUAUUGUCAGGGCAGAUAUUAUAUCAGGAAUGAUCAGUUCAGGAGAAUUCAUUAAUAUUUUGUCCAUCAGGACAAUAAAGAACUCCCAGGGGACUUGUUGAGUUAUGGAAGUAUUUUAGACCAUUAAAAGAAAGGAGUGAUAAGUAAAAUGAGACAAUUUCCUAUAUAUAAAGUUGAAUCUCAGAUGAGGAUAAAUAUAUACUGUGUGUAUUGUUAACAUUUGAUAGUUUAAAUGGAACAGAUAGUUUUCAAGUAAUUAGUAUUACAACAACCUGAAUGUCUGUGAGGUAAAAUAGUCCGUCAGUGAAUUUGUUUCGGGACAAUUACAAUUUAAAAGAUAGCAGAAACUUGUUUGACAGUUUAUCCCAGAGACUGAAAUAUUUAACGUUAUGUUGUCAAAGUAUUGGUUUUUCAAUAUUUGUCAAGUUGACAGACAGUAAAUUUGAACAGUAUAAUAAUUCGGAUUAAGGCGAAGUGUACGUAAUUAACUACUCCACAGAAUUUUUUUAAAUUUUACAUGUGGAUUCUGCUUGUAAAAAUACAUCAGACAAUAAAAUAAAAAAAGGGG